This 67-nucleotide transfer RNA is filed under the name Marmota monax (woodchuck). RNAcentral describes it as "tRNA.Ala". It matches the Rfam family "tRNA", at positions 6 to 65 of the family's 71-position model. From Rfam's summary of the family: Transfer RNA (tRNA) molecules are approximately 80 nucleotides in length. Their secondary structure includes four short double-helical elements and three loops (D, anti-codon, and T loops). The record is from RNAcentral. Lineage: Eukaryota; Metazoa; Chordata; Mammalia; Rodentia; Sciuridae.
GAAUGUAGUUCAGUGGUAGAGUACAUGUUUAGCAUGCAUGAGGCCCUGGGUUCAAUCCUCAGCAACA